AACAAGUUGUCAUGGUGCUUGAUACUGGAAGUGAACUUUCUUGGGUUCAUUGUAAAAAAACCCCAACAACACCUUUAAUUUUUAACCCUCUUGUUUCUUCUUCAUACUCUGCUAUCCCCUGUUCUUCACCGACAUGCACGGUGAAAACCCGGGAUUUUUCCAUACCCGUUUCAUGUGACCCGAAAAAACUCUGCCAUGCUACGCUAUCCUACGCUGACAGUUCUUCUGUUGAAGGUAAUUUAGCUACGGAAACUUUUCGUAUCGAUAAUUUGAAUUUACCCGGUGUUGUAUUCGGGUGCAUGGAUAU
Molecule: unclassified non-coding RNA, 307 nt
Filed under: Hevea brasiliensis (rubber tree)
Lineage: Eukaryota; Viridiplantae; Streptophyta; Magnoliopsida; Malpighiales; Euphorbiaceae
Source: RNAcentral